Molecule: unclassified non-coding RNA, 453 nt
Filed under: Hevea brasiliensis (rubber tree)
Lineage: Eukaryota; Viridiplantae; Streptophyta; Magnoliopsida; Malpighiales; Euphorbiaceae
Source: RNAcentral
AGAGAGAGAGAGAGAGAGGAAGAAUGAGCCUGCAGUUAGCUGGAUAACCCUAACACACAGACAGAGAAAGAGUCCUAGUUUAGAACCUCAUUUAUUAAAAUGAGGAGAAAAGAAUUGUCACAAGUCACAAAGUCACAACCCAGAACCAAGCGCAGGGAUGAAAAGCUGGUAGUGGAGAAAAGCACGCUCCAACUAACCCACUUACGUAGAGUGCUUAAAGGGGCGGGACCUGUACAAUUACGGGUUUAAUACACAGUUGAAAUGAGUUGGUUUAUUUGCAGGAGCGAUGCACAUUAGAUUAAAGGCGUGUGCCUGCCAUUUCCUGAGCAGACAACCUCUCCUAGUUGUAAAUAGAACCUUCUCUUUUGUUUUUUGCCCCACUGAACAUCCUCUCUACUUGUACCUAAACUUGCUUAAGAAUGGGAAUUGGAUAAAGCAAAUAAGAUAUUAAAU